GAUGAACGCUAGCUACAGGCUUAACACAUGCAAGUCGAGGGGAAACGGCAUUAAGUGCUUGCACUUUUUGGACGUCGACCGGCGCACGGGUGAGUAACGCGUAUCCAACCUUCCCAUGACUAAGGGAUAACCUGCCGAAAGGCAGACUAAUACCUUAUGGUCUUCACUGACGGCAUCAGAUGUGAAGUAAAGAUUUAUCGGUUAUGGAUGGGGAUGCGUCUGAUUAGCUUGUUGGCGGGGUAACGGCCACCAAGGCAACGAUCAGUAGGGGUUCUGAGAGGAAGGUCCCCCACAUUGGAACUGAGACACGGUCCAAACUCCUACGGGAGGCAGCAGUGAGGAAUAUUGGUCAAUGGGCGAGAGCCUGAACCAGCCAAGUAGCGUGCAGGAUGACGGCCCUAUGGGUUGUAAACUGCUUUUGUAUGGGGAUAAAGUCAAUCACGUGUGAUUGUUUGCAGGUACCAGACGAAUAAGGACCGGCUAAUUCCGUG
RNAcentral lists this ribosomal RNA (491 nucleotides) under uncultured bacterium. RNAcentral's name for it is "partial 16S ribosomal RNA". It matches the Rfam family "Bacterial small subunit ribosomal RNA", at positions 28 to 507 of the family's 1533-position model. The record is from RNAcentral.